This 335-nucleotide long non-coding RNA is filed under the name Mus spicilegus (steppe mouse). Its description in RNAcentral is "lncRNA (ENSMSIG00000019185.1)". Lineage: Eukaryota; Metazoa; Chordata; Mammalia; Rodentia; Muridae. The record is from RNAcentral.
UGUGAUGUCCUAUAAUUAAAUUUUGUUUACACAUUCUAGAGGACUACGAAGGGCAUGUGAGGCAUAUAAGAAAUCUCCCACAGCGAACCAGGAGUGGGGCCUUACAAGGAGACAAGAGGAAGCCAGACGUGCUGAAUGCUGAUUUUGUGGAAGUCGCACAAGAGAGGCGAGCAACAAUUUCCAACUAAUCUAAAUGAAAAGUGACUACGAAAACCAAGGAAUCAACCUGACCCAUGAUGCCUUUUUGACAUCGGCAAUGGUAUAUAGCUUCUAUAUGUGAUAUAAAUAUGUGUAUGUAAACAUAAAUAUGUGUAUGUAAACACAUGAUGUAAUGA